GUGGGGAAUUUUGGACAAUGGGCGCAAGCUUGAUCCAGCCAUUCCGCGUGCAGGAUGAAGGCCUUCGGGUUGUAAACUGCUUUUGUACGGAACGAAAAGCCUCUGGUUAAUACCCGGGGGUCAUGACGGUACCGUAAGAAUAAGCACCGGCUAACUACGUGCCAGCAGCCGCGGUAAUACGUAGGGUGCAAGCGUUAAUCGGAAUUACUGGGCGUAAAGCGUGCGCAGGCGGUUUUGUAAGACAGGCGUGAAAUCCCCGGGCUCAACCUGGGAAUUGCGCUUGUGACUGCAAGGCUGGAGUGCGGCAGAGGGGGAUGGAAUUCCGCGUGUAGCAGUGAAAUGCGUAGAUAUGCGGAGGAACACCGAUGGCGAAGGCAAUCCCCUGGGCCUGCACUGACGCUCAUGCACGAAAGCGUGGGGAGCAAACAGGAUUAGAUACCCUAGUAGUCC
This 450-nucleotide ribosomal RNA is filed under the name uncultured bacterium. RNAcentral's name for it is "partial 16S ribosomal RNA". It matches the Rfam family "Bacterial small subunit ribosomal RNA", at positions 354 to 796 of the family's 1533-position model. The record is from RNAcentral.